RNAcentral lists this ribosomal RNA (364 nucleotides) under Calopteryx maculata (black-wing damselfly). RNAcentral's name for it is "eukaryotic LSU rRNA". It matches the Rfam family "Eukaryotic large subunit ribosomal RNA", at positions 646 to 964 of the family's 3401-position model. Lineage: Eukaryota; Metazoa; Arthropoda; Insecta; Odonata; Calopterygidae. The record is from RNAcentral.
GACCCGUCUUGAAGCAAGGAGUCUAACAUGCGCGCGAGUCGUUGGGUCGGACACGCUCCGCUAAACCCAUAGGCGCAAUGAAAGUGAAGGCCGCCUUCUGGUGGCCGAGGGAGGACGGGGUCGUUCGCGCGCUCCGGCGCGCGUCGGUCCCCGCACCCCCGGGGCGUCUGAUCCCUCAUCGCGAGGGGAGGCGCACCCAGAGCGCACACGUUGGGACCCGAAAGAUGGUGAACUAUGCCUGGCCAGGACGAAGUCAGGGGAAACCCUGAUGGAGGUCCGUAGCGAUUCUGACGUGCAAAUCGAUCGUCGGAGCUGGGUAUAGGGGCGAAAGACUAAUCGAACCAUCGUAGCUGGUUCCUUCCGA